CUGAGCCUGUGAUGUGCUGUUAUCCCUGUCUGACACUCAGCUUGAGGAGGAAAAUGUCCAACUGAGGCUCAG
This 72-nucleotide small nucleolar RNA is filed under the name Zonotrichia albicollis (white-throated sparrow). RNAcentral describes it as "Small nucleolar RNA R38 (ENSZALG00000015136.1)". The record is from RNAcentral. Lineage: Eukaryota; Metazoa; Chordata; Aves; Passeriformes; Passerellidae.